UAUCCUCGUAGACAGCCUUGAAGGCCACCC
RNAcentral lists this non-coding RNA (30 nucleotides) under Bombyx mori (domestic silkworm). The record is from RNAcentral. Lineage: Eukaryota; Metazoa; Arthropoda; Insecta; Lepidoptera; Bombycidae.